GUAAAUUGUGUGUCACAGACUUUAUAGUUCACAUUUAUGUGACUCAUUUAAAUCUUCUCCUGAAAGUGAAACUCUUACAAACACAUCAGGCCACAACCUGCUGCAGGUUAAUCAUUGAUCUAAAGACAGCUGACCUUUGAGCAGGAACUUGUGAGUCUUUUAUUGUGUUUAAUGCUCACAGUGCUGAAGCCUGCAGACACACCCACAUCAUAUUAUUUGUUCUCAGGGUUGUUCGGUGUGGCAGAGUCGGAACAGAAACUUUCUGCAGGUUAAUUAUUGAUCAAACUAAAGUCAUAUUAAGGAGCUACUGGCACGGAGUCAGAGCAGAGCUCAGAAAUCUGAAAUAUAUCAAAGUAUAUUAAAGUUAAAGAGUUUAGAGAACACUGUUUGGUUUGCUGCCUCAAAGGCAGAUGACUCUCAAUAUCACAAGAUCAGGUAAAAUUUCAGAUCAAGGAAAAUCACUGGGGUUAUCUGUGAAGAGGCAGAAAAGCAUAGACGUGGUCUACCUUAUAGCCAUUUUGAAAAGGUGCAGCAGCUGACCUUUGACCUGUGAGCUUCAGACUCUUUGCUGGUGUGAAGUGUUUAAUGUGACUUCAGCCUGCAGACACAGAGGACGGUUACGGAGAAGAAGCAGAGGAUUUUCUCAGUUUCUACACAGACCUGGUCCAGACAGCAGAGAGCUGCAGAGUGAAGACGUUCAUGGAAGCUGAGUCAGUGCAACGUCCUCUUUGAAUCCUGGAUCAGGAAGUAAAGCCGGUGAAGGUAGAAAGUGUGUGUGA
Long non-coding RNA from Oreochromis niloticus (Nile tilapia), 779 nucleotides. RefSeq lists it as uncharacterized. The transcript has 3 exons. The record is from RefSeq and is a predicted model, not a curated record. Lineage: Eukaryota; Metazoa; Chordata; Actinopteri; Cichliformes; Cichlidae.